CGAGCAGCUUUUCAAAUGGUAGCUGAAAAGCCAAGACAUAGGAGGGCAUCGGUCACUCUUUGGAUCAUCAUGAAAGUCUUGUAGGUUUCUAGGUGAUCCAUUGGGUUGGUGGAGCCGUCAUAGGGCUCUAUUUAUGGCAUCUUGAAUCGAGUCGGGAUCAACUCAUUCAGGAUGCAUCGGGAGAAGGGUGGAAUGGUGUAGAUGGCAAAGUCAUUAGAUGACCCUCGGCC
Molecule: long non-coding RNA, 230 nt
Filed under: Elaeis guineensis (African oil palm)
Lineage: Eukaryota; Viridiplantae; Streptophyta; Magnoliopsida; Arecales; Arecaceae
Description: long non-coding RNA (EGUI_LNC021980)
Source: RNAcentral